GGGUUGUGAGGUUAAGCGACUAAGCGUACACGGUGGAUGCCCUGGCAGUCAGAGGCGAUGAAGGACGUGCUAAUCUGCGAUAAGCGUCGGUAAGGUGAUAUGAACCGUUAUAACCGGCGAUUUCCGAAUGGGGAAACCCAGUGUGUUUCGACACACUAUCAUUAACUGAAUCCAUAGGUUAAUGAGGCGAACCGGGGGAACUGAAACAUCUAAGUACCCCGAGGAAAAGAAAUCAACCGAGAUUCCCCCAGUAGCGGCGAGCGAACGGGGAGCAGCCCAGAGCCUGAAUCAGUAUGUGUGUUAGUGGAAGCGUCUGGAAAGGCGCGCGAUACAGGGUGACAGCCCCGUACACAAAAAUGCACAUAUUGUGAGCUCGAUGAGUAGGGCGGGACACGUGGUAUCCUGUCUGAAUAUGGGGGGACCAUCCUCCAAGGCUAAAUACUCCUGACUGACCGAUAGUGAACCAGUACCGUGAGGGAAAGGCGAAAAGAACCCCGGCGAGGGGAGUGAAAAAGAACCUGAAACCGUGUACGUACAAGCAGUGGGAGCACGCUUAGGCGUGUGACUGCGUACCUUUUGUAUAAUGGGUCAGCGACUUAUAUUCUGUAGCAAGGUUAACCGAAUAGGGGAGCCGAAGGGAAACCGAGUCUUAACUGGGCGUUAAGUUGCAGGGUAUAGACCCGAAACCCGGUGAUCUAGCCAUGGGCAGGUUGAAGGUUGGGUAACACUAACUGGAGGACCGAACCGACUAAUGUUGAAAAAUUAGCGGAUGACUUGUGGCUGGGGGUGAAAGGCCAAUCAAACCGGGAGAUAGCUGGUUCUCCCCGAAAGCUAUUUAGGUAGCGCCUCGUGAAUUCAUCUCCGGGGGUAGAGCACUGUUUCGGCAAGGGGGUCAUCCCGACUUACCAACCCGAUGCAAACUGCGAAUACCGGAGAAUGUUAUCACGGGAGACACACGGCGGGUGCUAACGUCCGUCGUGAAGAGGGAAACAACCCAGACCGCCAGCUAAGGUCCCAAAGUCAUGGUUAAGUGGGAAACGAUGUGGGAAGGCCCAGACAGCCAGGAUGUUGGCUUAGAAGCAGCCAUCAUUUAAAGAAAGCGUAAUAGCUCACUGGUCGAGUCGGCCUGCGCGGAAGAUGUAACGGGGCUAAACCAUG
Molecule: ribosomal RNA, 1158 nt
Filed under: Escherichia coli
Lineage: Bacteria; Pseudomonadati; Pseudomonadota; Gammaproteobacteria; Enterobacterales; Enterobacteriaceae
Description: partial 23S ribosomal RNA
Rfam family: Bacterial large subunit ribosomal RNA
Source: RNAcentral